GUGGUGCGGGGAGCCGCGGGGGCGGAGCGGAGCAGCGUUCCAGCUUCUGCGCCCCCGGAGCCCCGAGCGCCGUCUGUCUCCACGCUGUGAAUGGCUGUGAGGGGGUCGGUUUCCGUCGAGCUGUAAAUGCCGACAUCGAAGACGAGCGGAGCUCGGGGGCGCGUCCGCGCCCGUGCCGAGCGGCCCCAGGGCCCCGGACCGAGGGCCGCUUCUCUGAGAGGAGAGGCCUGUUGUGGAGGGGCCGCAGGGGCUCCCGCCCACUUCCCGCGCCUGGCAGCGAUUCCCGGCGCCUCCCGCCGGUCGGUCUCCUGGUAACGCCCACUAUGAGCCCCUGAGGAGGGCCUUUUAACAUCUUCCUUUUACAGACUAGGCUGAAGCUGGAAGUCAGGUCGCUUACUCGAGGACACACAGCUAGUGAGUGACCAGGUAGACCGCCUUGGCGGCCUCGCCAUUGCCCUGGCUGUGCGGUUGAUCGCAGGGGUGCCCCGUGGCCUCUGGGGGGUCGCGGGAAAUCCCGCCAUUCUCUCCCCCUCCCGGUGGAAGAGCAGGCGUCCAGUUACCAAACCCAAACCCAGGGGUGAUUGCACUCUGGGAGAAUUGGAGAGCCCCCUGUGUCCAUGGGCGGUGUUCCCUGUGGGAGAGGGCGGCCACCAGGCGCCCCUCUGUUGUCAGUCUUUAUGGGCUCAGUGGCUUCAUAUGCUAAUAAGUGUAAGGACCAGUCUGAGUAGCCUGGGGAAAGGGCUGGGAUUCCCAGGAAGUUGGCCAUUUCCCACUCUUGACUUUUUGGCCAGCCUUGGGACUGUCAUGGGCAUGUUAUUUACCAUGUUAAUGUAUUACAAUGAGCAUAUAAUGAAGCUCAAGAAGUCAAAUCCCCCACCAUCUUGAGCCUCAAGGCCUACUGGGGUUUGAAUCUUUUGCCAUUCUGGUAUUAUUUGCUGUGGUAUUCCUUGAAUGACUGUACCUUGCCCCCUUUCCUGUCUCACACCUGCUGUGGGUACAGAGGACCCUCUGAAGGACUCCAAAAGAGAAAGUAGCAGAAAGGAGCACGACGGAAGGAGCUGGAAGCCUGCUUGAGCACAGAGUAAAGCCCCUACCAGACCCACAGGAGUGGCAGACAACGUGGGCUGGCAUGUUUAAUACGUGGUCUCAGUCCGUACGUUCAUUUUAAGCGUUUACAGCAAAAGUGCCCAUCGUCUCAUUGUUCUGUCAGCUAUUUUCACUCAGCAUUGUUUUUAAAUCGUCCCAUGAUACAGAUAUCUGGUCUGGGCUACCCACUCAAACUGCAGAGUCCUACUGUACGUCUACACUGCUCUGCAUUUACCCUGCCUUAUUAACGAGCGCUUCAGUUUUCCUCUGCUUUCCUCUAUUGCACAUACUGCAGGGAAGUAGGUCCUUGUACAGUAUCCCCAAGUCCUGUGAGCAAGGGUAUCUCUAGGAGUUAUGCCUAGAGAUGGGAUUGAAUGUGCAGAUUUUAAUUUUAGGUACUAUCAUACUGCUUUUCAGAGUGGCUGUGUACUUUAUACUCCCUUUGGUGGUGUGAAGGAAUUCCUGUUCCCCUACACCUUCACCAAUGCUCAGUACUACACGACUUUCUGAAAUUUACUAAUCUAAGGGGUGAAGAGUGGUAUCUUGGUUUUUUUUAUCAACUUCACUGAGAUGUACUUAAAAUUAAAUGUGGUUAUUUUUAGUAAAUGAAUAUAUUUGAUAAAUAAAAAUCCUCCUGUGUGACUUCCACAAUCCAGGCCUAGAACAUCUCCAUCCCCGCAAAGUGCUUCCCUGGGGCCCUUCUCCAUCAGUCCCCACUCCUGCCAGGUGUUUCAGUGAGCAAACCUGAUGGCCAGUCAGGCCAGCCCUCUAUUUCUAUCAACCAUUGGAAUGUCAGUAACUCCAGUUGUCUGAAAUGACCUCACCCAUUUUCCCACUGGGCUGCUUGUCUUUUUCCUUAUGAUGUGACGGAGUUUGUUUUCUAUUUGGGAUACUGAGUGAUUUGCCUAUUACAUAUGUUACAACAGGAGAACUUACAAACACCACCCAGGGGGACCUGCCAUCCCACCUCAGAGAACCACCCUCUGCCUUGCAGUCAGUUCUCUGCCCCCUCUUUACAUUGCACAGUGGAUCCCAAGUCCUUAUCUGGGUUGUGAAGGCUAUAACAGCCUGGCCAGCAAGGUUUCUGAAGCAAAACACAAUCUAACUGGAAUUGGGGCGGGACAGCAUUCACAAGCGGUGAGAGGUGAGGAGCAAGCAAGGGGAUCCUUAAAAUAAGUACCAGAGAGCGGCGCUGGGCCCCGAGGAAGUGCUCCUACACCCCUGCACAGCAGGGAAAGCUUCCUGGAGGAGAAGGCCUGAGGGCAGAGUGCUGUCUGUCUUAAAACAUGGACAAGAGCUGUACACUUCAAAUUACAAGAUGCUGAAGAAAGAGACUGUGAGCUGGCCUUGAGAUGAGUUAAGGCUGUGGGACCCUAAGGCCACGAUCAGAGCAUGUUUGCAGAUGCAGUAAGCAAUUGCUAUACACGUGCAUCAAUUACAUAAGAUUUAGAACAAAGAAAAUAGAAGUACGCAUAUGCUAGAGAUAUUUUGCAAGCCUAAUGAACAAAGAAACUCAGAUUGUGCAUGUGCUGGCAGAGAACAGAUAAAAAGCAGGACAGGUGCAUCAUAGGUGUGCACCUUCCUAUGGCAAUAAUGUUGUUAACCCCAUAGUGUCUCUGGCUGAAGUCUGUCCGGCGGUACAGCAACUCCUCAUGAAUUUUUUUGUUUGGGCCCCUCACCUCCUAGAACCCUACGUCAGCCUCCCUCGGCUGACACUUGGCACUGUGAGCAGGAUGAGGUGAGUGCCCCCUCUGAACCCCCUGCCCCUGACGGGGAUGCUCUGAUGGAAGCAAAGUGGCCCCCUACCUCUGUAUGGUACCCGGUGGCAGCCUAUUGGCUGACGUGGGCUCAGCCUGAAGAUGGGGACACAGUGGCACCCUGGCCAGAUGACAUCCGGAGGGCGUUGGAACUGUUAGAAAAUUAUGUCCCGUUAGCCCACUGAGAGGCAGCCGGGAGGGCGGCCUGGGUGUUCUUAUCUGUUUUACAUCACGCUAGCCAAGACAUGAGAGAUUUACGGUUGCAAGUGGAGGUGUUGCAGUGCAGAGAAGAGGAGCUUAAGCGGAGACCCAGCACAGCAGAAAGGUGUCCGCAUGGUCCUAGCUCCGCCACCACAGAGCAGCUAUGCCUGUGUAGCUCCGGUCCUACCGUCUCUGAGAGCAGUAAGCCUGGCCCCUAGCCCCAUUCCACUGUGUCUAUGGCCCAUGGUGAGGCAAUAGGUGGAACUGGAGGAGCCCAUGGCUCAGGGGGGAACUCCUGCGGGACCACAGCGAGUGACACGUGAGUAAACGGACCACGUAUUUGAACUUAGUGCAAGUUGUCUGAGAAAUGGAUGCACCAGAUGAUGUUUGCUUUGCUUUUCCAUAGUCUGAAUGAUGAACUCCUUAUAGCUUGAAUGAAAGAUUUGAUUUUGGCUAAUGGCCCAACGGGAACGUUUGGGACUAUGGCAGUGCUACUAGCACCGUAUGUAGACCGCCCCAUACAUGAAGUAACUGAGGCUCUGGCUCAUCUGGGAGACACAGAGAUGCUCCGAAAGGGGGUGCAUACUGCCAAGACUCAAGAUUUGGAAACCAGUGCCACAGCGCUGCGAGAAGCCCUGGCGGGCUGGGGGUGGGCCACGAACAAGGACAAAAUGCGAGGACCUGGAUAUUCUGUCAAAUUCUUGGGUGUUGUCUGGUCGGGUAAGACAAAAGUGCUGCCUGAAGCAGUAAUAGACAAAAUCCAGGCAUAUUCCCGCCCUGAAACAGUUAAACAGUUACAGACUUAUUUAGGUCUUCUGGGAUACUGGCGGGUGUUUAUUCCUCAUUUGGCCCAAAUAGCCAAACCCCUGUAUAAACUGAUUAAAAAGGGAGAAAUCUGAAACUGACCUGAUGAGACCAAAUAUGCAUUUGUUGGAAGUAAGAGGAAGGUGACCCAAGCGCAAGCACUGUGCACUGCAGACCCAGACCUACUUUCUGGCUGGCAGUCCGUGUGGACGAUGAUGUGAUAUGGCUGGGGCUUAUGGCAGAAACAUGGGCAGCGGAAAGUGCCCAUAGGAUUCUGGCCUCAGUUAUGGAAAGGGGCUGAAUGUCGUUUUUCUUUGAUAGAGAAACAAUUGCUAGCAACUUAUGCAUCCUUGAUUGCCACUGAACCCCUGAUGGGGAGGCAAGAGGUCCAAGUGCAGACCACAUGCCCUAUUGCAGGAUGGGUACAGGCAUGGGCAAAGCAACCCCGAUCGGGAACUGCCCAAACCCCAACUCUGACGAAGUGAGGUGCUUAUUUGGAACAGAGAGCCCAGUACACCGCUAGCACCUUGGCUGCAGAGUUGCAGCAGGUGUUAGGGCCUGUGAGACUUGUUGCCCCUGAUGUACAGACGCUCCCACAAGGGGUGGACCCUGUGCCCAGUCCCUUUCGUGAAGGGAAAGGGCCACCCCCAGGAAAUGCUUAGUAUACAGAUAGAUCUUGUAAGGGCAGUCUGCCCACUUGGGUUGCAGUAGCUCUGCACCCUGCCACUGCAGCCUUCUGGUAUGAGACUGGAGAAGGCCAGUCCAGCCAAUGGCCUGAGUUAUGGGCAGUAUGGAUGGUGUUGAUGAAUGAGCCUAGCCCCUUGCAGAUUUGCAUGGAUAGUUGGGCCGUAUAUCGAGGCCUUACAUUGUGGAUACCCCAAUGGGGCCUGCAAGACUGGAUGAUUUGGCACCGGCCCCUAUGGGGACAACAGAUGUGGAAACAGUUAUGGGACAAAGGCCAAGAAGGCCAAUAUACUGUUUACCAUGUACCAGGGCACCGCCCAGCCCUGGCACCGGGCAAUGAUGCUGCUGACACGCUAGCCCAACUUCGCCCUGUAGAGGCCAUGGUCCCAGGACCCAACAUAGGUCCCUGGCUUCAUAAGAAACUUGGUCAUGUUGGCUCAUACACAAUGAGGCAGGCAGCUGACCAGUGGGGCCUGCACCUGAGCCACAGUGAAGCCAAAGAUGCCGUGCAGCAGUGUCCAUGGUGUGCUAAGCACCACCCGCACCAGCGGCGAUGGCCCCAACAGACGAGGAAGAUUGCACGGGGAAUUCAGCCAUUGCAAGUAUGGCAAAUAGAUUACGUGGGCCCCUUUGCUCCGAGUACGGGCUUGCGGUACCUGCUGACAGCGGUAGACACCACUGCUGGCCUAGGUUUUGCUCACCAUGUGCUCCGAGCUACACAAGAGGCUACUAUUAGAGCACUGGAAGUUUUACGGGCCUUCUAUGGGACUCCCUUAGAAAUACAAAGUGAUAGAGGGACCCCUUUCACUGCCCAACAGGCCCAGGAGUGGGCCAAAGAAAAUGACAUUAACUGGGUAUUGCAUGUGCCUUACUGUCCUCAAGCAGCAGGAAUGAUUGAACGGUACAAUGGCCUAUUAAAGGAGAAACUGAGGGCUCUCAAACCACAAUGGUGAGGCUGGAACAGUGUCGUGCCGCAGGCAGUACGUCUUUUGAAUGAACAACCUCGCCAUACAGGUAUGAGCCCACUGGAAAAGUUAUUGCAAGGGACUAUUCAGAGGCUCAGAGUUGGGCCCAUGCAGAAUACCUCUGAAGUCUCAGUAAUGGGGCGUUAAUAUUACACGCCCCCAGGGUGUUGAACUCGGGACAACAGGACACCUGGACAUGGAAGAAUCAGGUCCAGACUGAAGGCCCCUGGCUAGCCCUUUUGGCACCAUGGGGCGAUGGGCUAGAGAAAGCCCUGCAGGUAACCCCAUGAGUGGGGGAAUAGCCUUUUGAUGUGCAGGUUACUCUAGGGAAAACAGGAGUGUCCCCACUUAAAGGAGCAGAAGCCCUACGGCUUUGGGCAAUUCCACUGAUAGCUCCUGAAGCUCUCCCAGAGUGUAACCAACCUAGUGUGGGCGGGUUGGUGUGGUACCACCGCCCAGGGCGAACAGCCCUUCCUGCCACUGUACUCUCACAGGAUGAGAAACUGCUUGCAUCCUCCCAGAAGGGAGAGAUUUGCCAAUCAUGGUGUUCACCUCUGCUCUGUCCUUCCAUCCAGGGUAACAGCAAAUACCAUAUUCUCCUGGGCAUACACAUUCGCGUGAGUCCACCACGCCUCUCACUGUUGGGUCUGCACUGAACUUCCCGUAGACGCAGGAGAUGGACUGCUGUGGCACCUCCACCCCGCGUCCAGAGCUAAUUGGUACACCUUGGUUUGAUGGAAUGCCAACAGGACAGCGAGAUUGCCCUGGGACUUGCGGCGGCAGACUAUUGAAAAGAUCCCCUGACGUGAGCAGGGCAAUGCCCCCCCCCCAAAUUGGAAGGACUGUAUGGAAUGGGUGGGGAUGGAUGAAUAGUGUUCAUGUAAAAGUGAGAAAUUUUAGCCCUCUCUGUAUUGAGCAGCAGUUUGAACACGAGGCUCCAAACCGCACUGUGGGGUGGCUCCCAGAAGAGCUGUGUGCCAAAAUUACUUACAAUGUAAAUGCCUCCACCUGGUGGGAUGGAUGACCUCUAAUUGGCACAAAACCCACCGAUUUCCUGCCACCAGGGUACCUGUGGGUAUGUGGCACCCACGGAUGGUCUUAUCUCCUGGCUAAGUGCACAUGGCGCUAUACUUGGGGUAGAGCUUACUUGCCUAGACAUACCCAGCCCACUUUAACAGAGCGCCCCACAAACUGGGACCCACUGCACACCCAGUGGCACAGGGGGAAGCAUGCAGCUUGGUGGUUUUAUCCCAUGGUCCUGUUCCUACCUGGUGCUGGGCCCAUCAGUGUCAAAUUGCAGGUAGAAGCUUUGACUCAGCUUAUCAGCUGUGCUGAAUGUUACUAGAAAAGCUAUGGAGGAAUUGUUAGAUGAGACUACCCAGAUGCGAAAUGUGGCCUUACAAAAUAGAAUGGCAUUAGAUAUUCUCACUGCAAGCCAGGGUGGCACAUGUGCUAUGUUACAUAUUGAAUGUUGUAUCUAUGUACCAGAUCACCAGGAGGAAGUAGCCAAGGCACUGCAUGAAAUAGAUCAGGAAUUGGGAUCGCAUAGAUCAUGUAACUGAAGACCCUCUUAAGAAUUGGUGGUCAUCCCUGAUGUCCUCCUGGAGAUGGAGCCUAACUGUCCUGGCUAUUGUAGCUGCCUGUGUAUUGGUAGGCUGCUGUACUCUGUAUUGUUGUGGUCUUUGGGCACGAUGCUCCACCCUGUGGGCUAGGGUCCCCACCACCUAGGGGGUGGAAUGUGAGCUGGCCUUGAGAUGAGUUAAGGCCAUGGGACCCAAGGCCACGAUUAGAGCAUGUUUGCAGAUGCAGUAAAUAAUUGCUAUACACAUGCGUCAAUUAUAUAAGAUUUAGAACAAAGAAAAUAGAAGUACGCAUGUGCUAGAGAUAUUCUGUAAGCCUAGUGAACAAAGAAACUCAGAUUGUGCAUGUGCUGGCAGAGAACAGAUAAAAAGCAGGACAGGUGCAUCAUAGGCGUGCACCUUCCUGUGGCAAUAAAAUGUUAACCCCA
Molecule: long non-coding RNA, 7505 nt
Organism: Camelus dromedarius (Arabian camel)
Lineage: Eukaryota; Metazoa; Chordata; Mammalia; Artiodactyla; Camelidae
Exons: 2
Source: RefSeq, a predicted model, not a curated record